UGGGGAAUAUUGCACAAUGGAGGGAACUCUGAUGCAGCGACGCCGCGUGAGUGAUGAAGGAAUUCGUUUCGUAAAACUCUGUUCUAUGGGAAGAAAAGGACUGUACCAUAGGAGAAAGCUCCGGCUAAAUACGUGCCAGCAGCCGCGGUAAUACGUAUGGAGCGAGCGUUGUCCGGAAUUAUUGGGCGUAAAGGGUGCGCAGGCGGCGUUACAAGUUGGAUGUGAAAUAUUGUGGCUCAACCACAAACGUGCAUCCAAAACUGCAAAGCUUGAGUUAAGGAGAGGUAAGUGGAAUUCCUGGUGUAGCGGUGGAAUGCGUAGAUAUCAGGAGGAAUACCGGUGGCGAAGGCGACUUACUGGACUUAAACUGACGCUCAGGCACGAAAGCGUGGGGAGCAAACAGG
This 404-nucleotide ribosomal RNA is filed under the name Fusobacteriota bacterium. RNAcentral describes it as "Fusobacteria bacterium partial 16S ribosomal RNA". It matches the Rfam family "Bacterial small subunit ribosomal RNA", at positions 355 to 776 of the family's 1533-position model. The record is from RNAcentral. Lineage: Bacteria; Fusobacteriati; Fusobacteriota.